CGCGUAGGUGGCGCGACAAGUCAACGGUGAAAGCCCGGGGCUCAACCCCGGGUCGGCCGUCGAUACUGUUGGGCUCGAGCACUGUAGAGGCAGGUGGAAUUCCGGGUGUAGCGGUGGAAUGCGUAGAGAUCCGGAAGAACACCGGUGGCGAAGGCGGCCUGCUGGGCAGUAGCUGACACUGAGGCGCGACAGCGUGGGGAGCAAACA
Molecule: ribosomal RNA, 207 nt
Filed under: uncultured bacterium
Lineage: Bacteria
Description: partial 16S ribosomal RNA
Rfam family: Bacterial small subunit ribosomal RNA
Source: RNAcentral